GCCAAGCUACUCAUCUCCUUCGUUCCUCCAAAUUUCACCCUCUAUUUUUGCACAAGAGGAAGGCCAGCCUCAUCGAUCUCCGACAACAAGGGGAAGGCCAUCCUCAUCGAUCUUCGACGACACACCCACCUCUACCUUCCCUACACCCGUACCGAAUUAAGCCCAUAAAGCACCCAUAUCUCAACCAUCCAAACUCCGAUUCACUUGAUUCUUUUUCUUAAAUUGCUCUAAAAUUGUUUUUGGAAUUUAAUUAGCAGCCAACAUUCCAAACACCAUAUCUCAACCAUCCAAACUCCGAUUCACUUGAUUCUUUUUCUUAAAUUGCUCUAUAAUUAUAUUCUAUCUAUUCCAGCUAUUCUCCUCUCCGUUUGAGCUUAUUUUAUUUUGUGAUUGUUUUUGUUUGUGUGUUUGUCGUUUACGUCAUCAUCGCGGAGCCGAUGGAGUGAUCGAGGAGGAGAAUGAGCUUGGAGGCCAAUACCAUGAACCGGAGUACGAAGGCCAGGACCGCGAGCUGGAGCUGGAAGACCCAUACCAUGAGCAGGAGCUUCCAGAAGGCAUUAAAGAUGGAAGGUCCAACCUAUUCCCUUUUGGUCAUAUUUAUCUAGUUUUCAAACACAACCUGUAGAAGUCUUUUUAUAAAUUGCCUCAGAUUAUUUAUCUACUUUAUCUAUUUAAAACCCUGUUUGAUAGCCAUUUCUUGAUUUGAUAUAUCUUGAUUAUACCUUGACAACAUAGGAUUUAUUGCUAGACAUGAUACGCUCUGUUUAGCUGAUUACCUUGAUAUUAAUACGGUUAGGAACUGGCUACUCAACAUUAUUACUACUCGUUUUACAAAUGCAAUGGUUCUACAAAAGAUAAAAUGUGUUGAGUGUGUUGGUGUGAGUAUGGAUUGGGAUUUCGGAAAAGUGAAAAAUAAAUAACUAGGUGGUGGUGAUCAUUUUAGAUGGGGCAGAUUAGGGUUCCUUGUGUGGGAUGCCUUGGAGUAUUGGCUUGUGCCUGUGUGGCUGAGUAUGGAAGAUAUCCGCAUUGUCUGGAUUAAGGACUGAGUCGAUGUGUCAUCUUGCCUAACCUAACUUAUCGUACAACCACUCGAGAUUUGUGUGUGGCAAAGGCUUAGGAUAAAUCCCACUAGCUAGUUUGGUAGUCAUCCAUAGUCAAGUGCGCAAUAGGAGGCCAAGGAGUAGGCAUAAGCAAGUACAGGAUUAGAGGCCCGAUUGAAGGCGUCGUAUGAAGGUCAGGAACCCCUUUGUUAGCUUUCAUGGAUGACUAGGUAGGACUAUGCUAUGGUGGGUAAUGGCUUUAAUGGAUCUGCAUCGGCACUACGAUGUUCGUGUUACGGUACCCUACUUGUAGGUAAAGUGUACACCUCUGCGGAUUUAAAACAUUUUCAAAUAGCCAUGUCAACGGUCUUGGACGAGUUAUGGCUUGGUCACAUAACUAGCUAUCUGGGAAAGAUGGGCAAACCUUUUGGUGUGAAAUGGAUUUUGGAAACAUUUGGCAAGUGUGCCGUGUGCUACCAUGGACGGGGUGUCUAGUAGCACUUAAAAUUUGGAUCUUGUACGUGUAGGAUCAUCCCACUCUUUAAGCACUACCGUAAUAUGAAAAGUAUAUGUUUUGCAAAAAUCGCUUUAUAAAACUAAAUCUUGCAUGUGUACAAAAGAUUGCUUUAUGCAAAAUAAACCUUGGCCUAUCCCUUGAAUUAUCCUUAUGCAUGUAUUCUUAUACCCCUUCUAUAGGGUGGGGUUGGAUUUGCUGAGUACAUAUGUACUCACCCUUGCUUUGUUGAUACAGAGGAAGACCCGAACUACGUCGCUGGUGAAGCUUACGAGUAGAAGGUCACCUCCUCACCCAACUUACCUAUGACGUUGGGCUGUUAAGGGUGCUUCCGCUAUCGUGCAGUGCUGCUGCUUAUGGACUUGAAUGUCCAUAGGUUGCAUCUACAGCCUGUUUGUGUUAUAUCUCUUUUGGGUCUAUGUUACCCGAUCGCUCCAUAGAGAGUUUGAACUCUCUAUUGAAUAAAUAUGUGUACUAGC
RNAcentral lists this long non-coding RNA (2033 nucleotides) under Setaria italica (foxtail millet). RNAcentral describes it as "long non-coding RNA (SITA_LNC000289)". Lineage: Eukaryota; Viridiplantae; Streptophyta; Magnoliopsida; Poales; Poaceae. The record is from RNAcentral.